This 484-nucleotide ribosomal RNA is filed under the name uncultured bacterium. RNAcentral describes it as "partial 16S ribosomal RNA". It matches the Rfam family "Bacterial small subunit ribosomal RNA", at positions 30 to 507 of the family's 1533-position model. The record is from RNAcentral.
AUUGAACGCUGGCGGCAGGCCUAACACAUGCAAGUCGAGCGGAUGAAGGGAGCUUGCUCCUGGAUUCAGCGGCGGACGGGUGAGUAAUGCCUAGGAAUCUGCCUGGUAGUGGGGGAUAACGUCCGGAAACGGGCGCUAAUACCGCAUACGUCCUGAGGGAGAAAGUGGGGGAUCUUCGGACCUCACGCUAUCAGAUGAGCCUAGGUCGGAUUAGCUAGUUGGUAGGGUAAAGGCCUACCAAGGCGACGAUCCGUAACUGGUCUGAGAGGAUGAUCAGUCACACUGGAACUGAGACACGGUCCAGACUCCUACGGGAGGCAGCAGUGGGGAAUAUUGGACAAUGGGCGAAAGCCUGAUCCAGCCAUGCCGCGUGUGUGAAGAAGGUCUUCGGAUUGUAAAGCACUUUAAGUUGGGAGGAAGGGCAGUAAGUUAAUACCUUGCUGUUUUGACGUUACCAAAAGAAUAAGCACCGGCUAACUUCGUG